AAUACCAAAGAUUCUCUAUUCUAAUUAGCAUCGUCUCUGAUAAUUCAAAUAUUCCAGGAAGUGGUUAAUCGACCGGAUGUUGUUUUGUGAUCAGUGAUGCGUUUCCAGGGGACGUUCUUUGAGGGGACACAUUACACUUUGAGGAAGUAGUGUCUUGUUCAGUGUUCACGGUUUAUAUUGCUGAAGGACAAUUACAAGUCUAAACGGAGAAGAGUCGUCAUUUCAAGGUGUUUUCGCGGACGUAUCGGCAUGUGGAUGUUGACAGUGUCGGAAGUAUUAAUCAAAGUUGACACGAGAAGUUGGAGCGAUGCGAGAAGAGCAUGCGAUGAGCUGCCUGCCUGCCUGCCUGCUGCUGUCUACUGCCUACUCCUGCUGCUGCCGCUGCUGCUGUUGCAUCCAAUGUUGGGUAGCCAGCCACCCAUGCAUGUUGACACAGCCAGCAGCGGGCACCCAUGGCACAUGGGGAUGGACCCAGGAGUGGAGGAUGACCCAAUAGGAUGAACGUUCAGCCCACUCACUGUUGACACCAGUGACACAGUAUUGACCAGAUCUCCUGGAAGUGCCCCCUGACGCAGACCCAGUUGUUGGGUAGCCACCCAUGCACGUUGACACAGCCAGCACCGAGCACCCAGGGGGAUGGAACCAGGAAUGGAGGAUGGUCCAAUAGGGUAGCAUCAUGAAGGCGGUUUACCCCUGAAACUUUUUACAAAGGACCACCAUCGUCAGAGAAGUUCCUUUAACCCUUAUCUCCCAUAGCGGCCGUGAACGCCCGGCCACCUCUCUCCCAUAACGCCCGCCGACACCCGGAGUAUUUUCAUAGCUGAACAGAAGUCAUCAUGCAGUUUCUACAGCUUUCACUUUAGAUCACUAUUACAGACUCUCAAUAUAUUUUUAUUAUAAAAACUAUUUUGGGAAAUCCUGAACUACAGUGCAAAGUGGCUGAGCUCAAAAGUACGGGCUCGCUGCUGCUGCCCAGUAGAAAAUAUCUUUUAAAUGCAGUACAGUUCCUAAUUGUGCGUUCAUGUGGUAAUUACGUAAAUAUCAAACACUGACAUCCGAAGCACACAUGAACGCCACCGGCCCUAGUAGAAAAUUUUGAUUAAUGAAUGCACUAUAUCUCUUCUCUUGCCUCCCUCUCUUCUCCACAAGCUCUCCCCUCAUCUAUUCUCUUCAUUUUGCUAGUCCUCAUCUCUCUUUCUUCAUUGUGUUACUGUUUAAGCUGAUAACUGUUACUUUUAAAAAUUAAAUAGUUAAAGAUAUUGAAGUUGUCUGUCUUGUGUUACCGUUACCAUGAAGCACAUCAUCUCACAUCUCAAAUGUAUUGUGUAAGUGGUUUGUAAAUAUUUUUGAUGAGAAUAGUAAGAUCUCUCAGAUGUUGCCUCCCAUGCAUAAGCAAUGCUCAACAAGUCAUUUAUUGAUGUUUUGGAAAGCAUGGAAAGAUUUUCAGUUUAAAAGUUCCCCAGAUAUGCCGUAGUAAUGAGUUGUAAGUCCUUGAUAAUGCAUAAGCAAUGCUUAUCAAGUCAUUUGUUAAUGCGUUGUAAAGCUUUAACAGGUUUUCACUUUAGAUCAGUUCCCCAGAUAUACUUAAAUAAUGGGGUUUAAAUCCUUGAUGA
Molecule: long non-coding RNA, 1613 nt
Organism: Engraulis encrasicolus (European anchovy)
Lineage: Eukaryota; Metazoa; Chordata; Actinopteri; Clupeiformes; Engraulidae
Exons: 5
Source: RefSeq, a predicted model, not a curated record